CUUUUCCUGUUUGGCUUGGAAAAGCCGUUUUUAAAAGGUGUCUUCUAGAGAGUCAGCCGACUUCCAAACCAAUACGAACAUUCCAAGGUGAUCAAAGUUAGAUGGGUCUCUAGGCAUGAAACUAUGCAGCAUUCCAGAGUGGACUGGAUUCCCUGCUUUUCCACAAGCGUGUCUAGGAGCAUCUAAAAGGUUUCCCAAAUGUUUGGGUUUUAACUGUGCAGCAGCAUGAGGAAGGAUGCCAGAGACUCGGCACUCAGGUUAAAGCAGGUGUCAGAUGGAGAUGCCAGAUUCCAGGUGUGGAAACACCAAACCUGUCCGGGCUUGCAGCAGAGGUUUGCUCACAUGCAGAGCAGAAAUAAGCCUGCCCAAAGCGAGACAUGAUAAGGGAAUGCACUGGUAGGGGCCAGGAAACAUCUGCUCUGCUUUGUGAUCUUCUGGCUGUGUGAUCUUGGUCAGGUUACUUGCCCUCUCUGAGCCUUGUUUCCUCAUCUGCCAAAUAAAGGCCCUAUAAUAACAAUGCCAGCUACCAGCUACUUACUUUGUGUCAAGCACUGUGCUGGCCACUUAAAUUCUUUCUAGUCCUCAGACAGUGCUUAGGUAGUAACGUUAUUUCUGCAUCAGACAUGAAGAGAGAAGCUGGGCAUACAGCUGGGCAGCUAAGGCUCGUUACAACUCUGGUUCCAAAGGCAAGGAUCUGUGCAUCACUCAGGCCACUGCCUCCUUCUGAGAUCACAUCACAGAGGGAGAAAUGGAAGCCAGAGAAGCAUUUCCAACCCAUUCAUAUAGUUUCUCUCCCAGACUCCUGGCUCAGAGCUCAGCUACUGUUUUGGGCAAUGUAGUGGUUUGAGGAGGCUGGUGAAUAUCUUUUUCAAAUGAAACCUAGAAGUUUGUCAUAGUAAAGAACAAAGCAGCCCAUCCCUCUGCUUAAGGCACUGUUUUCUAGGGUGCUCAGGGGGUUUCCCUUGCCCAGCAAUGAAGGGGUCUUUGGGGCCUUGCCACACCCUCUCUCACCUCCAGGACAGGCCUCGGUACUGAAUCAAGACGUCCAACACAUUUCCAGGUCUGGACCCAGCUCCAUUGCCUGCCUGAGAGAGAACAACAAGGGGCUUUUUUACGUGGACGAAACAAAGUGCUGGGUCCUUGAAUGAGUUCUACACCAUGAUCUGGAGACCUUGUCCAAUGCUGCCCACUACUGACCAGCUGUGUGACUUGGGGUUCUCAUAUUACUCAAGAUCUUUUCCCCUCCUGCCCCUUCUGCAUCAGGGUCACUUACUGUGAGAGAGUCACCCAGGGCCCCAAUGAUGCUGAUGUCAGCCGGCUUCAGCCUAUGAACUGAGAAUACAAGCAGGAGUGAGUGGAAAACGGGGACAGGGCGUCCAAGAAAGCACUGGACCUAUCUACUAGAAACAAAGGAAUAUCUUCCAGGAUAACAAAGAAAAAGUCAGUUUUUGCCAGCAGGACACCUUGGCUAAAAGACAGAAAAAACCCAUCCUUGUCAAUGGGCUCUGCAACACCAGCCAUGGAACCUGAGUGCUGGCUUCUUCUCUGGGGCACCUGGACACAGGAACAGGAAGCUGAAAAGUGGAUCCUGCUUUAAGCGGGGAGCUGUGCUUGCAUUUGGUGAGACCUGAUGCUACCAGGUAAUCCAGCACCUCCUUCAGCUUGUCCAGGCCACCCGCCAUGAGCCCAUUCUGUGAGAGGAGAACCUAAUGAGUGAGGGUAUCAGCAAGAAGACCAUGAGAAGCGGACACCCAGACUCAUGACAGGCCCGUCCCCAGCAGGCGAGACCACAGGCAAAGGCCCCAUCUAGACCUGGCAUUCCACAAAUGAGAGCGGUCCUGGAGCUUCCUAGUUUUGUCUUUGUUUUGUUCAUCUGUUUUCUCCCCAACUUGUCAUCUACCAGGGAGAAACCAAACUCCCCCCAGGUGACAAGUUCCGUCAGGAAAGGGCAAACUCAAAGCCAGAGCAAGGUCAGAAAUACCUGGUGCAAUUCUGAAGCUCAUACUGAGGGAUGGGAGACUUACUCCCAAAGACUGAGGAAUUGCUUUUUUUCCAAAGAAAAUCAGGUCCAACAGGGAAAUACAAUUAACCCUGGAUUUAAUUAACCCCAGAUGGGCCUCGGAACCUUCACAUGAUCCUAUUUUAUCAGCCUUUCUCCUGCCGUAUUUGCCCUAAGAGAAGGGCUGCUAGAGAAAGAGUAUGAGUGGGCCCCCGACCUGAGGAUUUAAAAACCUCUCCCACCUACACAAUACACACACCACUCCCCUGCCUGCAAGUAAUGAAAAUCAACAAAUGAAGGACCUCAAAAGUGGACCCCGCUUUACUGUUUUUUUUCCUUUUUUUUUUUUUUUUUUUUUUUUUUGAGUCUUGCUCUGUUGCCCGGGCUGAAGUGCAGUGGUACAAUCUCGGCUCACUGCAACCUCUGCCUCCCGGGUUCAAGGGAUUCUCUUGCCUCAGCCUCUCAGGUAGCUGGGAUUACAGGCACCCAGCACCAUGCCCAGCUAAUUUUUGUAUUUUUAGUAAAUGUGAGGUUUCACCAUGUUGGCUAGGCUGGUCUCGAACUCCUGACCUUAACUGACCCACCUACCUCAGCCUCCCAAAGAGCUGGAUUAUAGGGCUGGGCGCAGUGGCUCACACCUGCUUUACUUUUUCAAUGUGAAAAAUAAAUUAAUAAAAAUUACAAGACAAACUCCUAAGUUGCCUGCAGACUGGCUGUCCCCUAAGGCAACCUGGCUCAGACAGGAAGACAAGGAGGGCCAAGGAGCUGUGCUGUUGUCUGGAGACAACUGUCAAUCACCCAGGCUCGCACCGCACAGGAGGAAAUGCAGUGUCCCUGCUUUGGUGUGAGGCUGGCCUCUGAGAGGCUGGUUCAGCCAGGUCUAUUACCAUAAAAGCCUUCUGUCUAAUUUUCUCUAAGUAAGCCGCUCCCUGACCGUGACAUCAAACAUCACCCUCUCUUUCCUGAAGAGCCCGGGAGAACUCUGUCUAGAAGCAUCCUCGCUGACCAUCUUUACCACAUCCAUUGUCCCUGUAGAGGUGGGGGACCCUGUGUGGCUCUCCCUAGAGUGUAAAUCUUGUGGUAGAAACUCCUGGUCAAGCUCACAGCUGUAGAGGGAAUUGGGACCCACCCAGUCAUUCCCAGCACUGCAUGGUUGUCCACUCAGGGCUCCAACUGUCCCCACUUCUCAGUAGAGACAUUGUACUCCUAUAAGAUAUCCCUCCUCUAUAAUGUCACACAGAGUAAACUCCUGGAACUCAAAGUCAGGACAAAGCAGAUUUCUUCAAAUGAACUUUUACAUUUCCAUUUGUAUCAUUUGCCCCCUGGUUGGGAAGAAUGUCUAUUAUCAAAUAUGUGCCUGAGACCUGACUUAACUCUAAUAAAUUGGGAUUAUUCAGUCAAAAAUUAGAAACACGUUUAGGUUUCUUGAAUCACACUGCCAGCAUACCCUCCAAAAGGCUGCCGCCUCACCUGUCGCUAAAGACAUUGGCAAUGAAUAAAUGUGUCUGUUUUCUUGUCAUCAGCUUUGCGAUUUUUUGAAUUUUUUCUUCUGAUUUUAAAAAUCUUACUCAUUAAUAAAACUAAAGGCUUUAACUAGAGAGUAGUAAGAAAAUGUCCAAACCCAAAAAGCAUCCUCAGGUCACUGCUGUGAGCCAGGUUCUCAUUUACCUCCGAAGCAUCUGCCUUCAGAGCUCCUGUCACACCUGAUGGAUAGUUCCUGACUUGAGUCUCUCUGACUUUGGUCUUAAGAAACUCCUAAAGAACAGCGGUGGACACAGAUCCUUGUUUAUUAAAGGAGCCCAAAGGUCUCCACAGGGGAAGAGACUUCCAGGUCCUAAGGUGGGGGCAGGACAGUAGCUCAACAUUCCUUCUUAAUGGUAAAACAUGUUUUUCUUGUGUGUACUUUUCUUUUUCUGCCUCCCAGGUUCAAGUGAUUCUCCUAUCUCAGCCUCCCGAGUAGCUGGGAUUACAGGUGCCCACCACCAAGCCUGGCUAAUUUUUGUAUUUUUAGUAGAGAUGGGGCUUCACCAUAUUGGCCAGGCUGGUCUCGAACUCCUGACCUCAAGUGAUCUAACUGCCUCAGCCUCCCUAAGUGCUGGGAUUACAGGCAUGAGCCACCACACCUGGCCUCUCAUGUGAACUUUUGGGAAACUCCUGACACCUGUUCUGUGAGGUAAGGUGGCAGCUGCUGCCCACCUUCUCAGCAUUUGCCUGUGGAGGGAUCGCCAGUGGCCCCUGGGUUUCUACAGAGGACUUGUGGUGUUUUUUUGUUUGUUUGUUUGUUUUUAAAGAUAGAGUCUUACUCUUGUUGCCCAGGCUGGAGUGCAGUGGCAUGAUCUCGGCUCACUGCAGCCUCUGCUUUCUGGGUUCAAGUGAUUCUCCUUCCUCAGCCUCCUGAGCAGCUGAGACUACAGGCAUACACCACCAUGCCCACCUAAUUUUAGUAUUAUUGAUAGAGAUGGGGUUUCACCAUGCUGGCUAGGCUGGUCUUGAACUCCUGACCUCAAGUGAUCCACAUGCUCGGCCUCCCAAAGUUCUGAGAUUACAGGUAUGAGCCAUCAUGCCUGGCCAUCUACAGAGCACAUUUUGACAACCACUGAAAGCUUAGGAAAGCUUAUGCCUAAGAUGUGCUUUGAGAAAAAUAGAACUGCCACAUAAGACCUUCUCAAACGAGGAUGCUGAGCUUCACCACAGGAUUAGCAUAGACAGGGAGGUGUGGCCAGAGGUGCCGCUAGGAGGCGAGUUGGGGUCUGGGCUGUGAGGAGGGCAGUGCCAGGAGGCCAAAAGAGCCACGUCCAGGAGGAGGGAUUUAUUCCAGGCUCCAAAGCCUUGGUGGUUUUUGUGCAACAGGAAAAAUCAAGACACCAGAAGAAAUGAAAUAAAGAGGGAAUCUGAGCAGAUGCUAGCAGGUGUUGCUAUACUUAGCUACAUUUAUGGACCUCAAGUUAUUGGUUUACAGCUGUUUAAAAAUGAGGAGUGAGCAUGAUUACUUUUGUCAUAUGUUUGUAACCAAUUAAAAGUAUGGGCUUUUAAGUGUGAAUAAACUCAAUUCAUACGUAA
Non-coding RNA from Callithrix jacchus (white-tufted-ear marmoset), 5059 nucleotides. NCBI's taxonomy places the organism in Eukaryota, Metazoa, Chordata, Mammalia, Primates, Cebidae. The record is from RefSeq and is a predicted model, not a curated record.